This 479-nucleotide ribosomal RNA is filed under the name uncultured bacterium. RNAcentral's name for it is "bacterial SSU rRNA". It matches the Rfam family "Bacterial small subunit ribosomal RNA", at positions 364 to 833 of the family's 1533-position model. The record is from RNAcentral.
UUUCGCAAUGCCCGAAAGGGUGACGAAGCGACGCCGCGUGGGUGAAGAAGGCCUUCGGGUUGUAAAGCCCUGUCAGGAGUUAUGAAAUGUAGGUACGAUAACAUCGUGCUUAUUUGACAAAGGCUCCAAAGGAAGCCACGGCUAACUCUGUGCCAGCAGCCGCGGUAAUACAGAGGUGGCAAGCGUUGUUCGGAAUUAUUGGGCGUAAAGAGCACGUAGGUGGGUUUGUAAGUCAGAUGUGAAAGCCUUCUGUUCAACGGGAGAAUUGCAUCUGAAACUACAGAUCUUGAGUGUAGGAGGGGAGAAUGGAACUUCUGGUGGAGCGGUGAAAUGCGUAGAUAUCAGAAGGAACGCCGGCGGCGAAAGCGAUUCUCUGGCCUAUUACUGACACUCAGUGUGCGAAAGCUAGGGGAGCAAACGGGAUUAGAUACCCCGGUAGUCCUAGCCGUAAACGAUGGGCACUAAGUAGAGGGGUUUUA